AUGAACUCUGUGAUUCUCAGCCCAGAUCCUCCCUGUAGGCUACACUUCCUUCCACCCCGGGCUUCCCUUAGGUGGGUUCCCGACUUUGGUAAAGGAAGGCUUCUGCGCCCACUGGUGGUCAUAAAUGGAAAAGGCAGAGAAGUAUGGAUUCCACCUGCUAGUUGUGUAUAAGGAACUGGAAAAAGUCAAGUUAACUGGAAUAUGAAACCUGGGCAAGGAGAGUCCAGAGGCUGGUGAAAAAGACUGAUAUUGAGCCCAAGUGGACGCUAGGGUCUCCAGAAAAGGACUGAGCCUUACCCCAUCUGGGCCAUCUGCGGAACAGGCGAGACCACUUUCUGGCUGGUGCACCUCAAGGUAAUGGUGAAGCUACUCACCAGCUGCAGCCAACACUCAAGGUGAAGGGAUUACACAGGAGAAUGAAAGCCAGGAGCCAUCUCUUAGCUACCCAGUACAUAGUUCAAAUCCCAAAUUAAUGCCAGAGUUAUGCUAUUCACCUUCUAGAGCUCUCUUCUCCCCCAUAUCCGUCCUGGACAACUCUGAUAUAUCCUCCAGGCCUCAGAGCAAAUGUUUCACCCUCCAGGAUUGACUUAAGUGUCUCCCAAACGUGCCCCUGUGACACCCUGGACUUCACCAUAGCCCUACCACACUACGAAUGACCUGGUCUGCCUCGCACACCUUCUGUCAACUCCGUGAGGGCAGCAGUCUUGUCUCUUCUCUUCUAUCAACAUGGACCCAGACCCAGGCAUAGGGCCAAAAAUGGACUAGGCACUCACAGUUAAUGGUUACCAAAUUUAAUAAAUGAAUCUUCCCAUAAUAUGGCUCCAUUAUGUCUUUCUUCUGAUUGAAACUUCUCAGUGGCCUCUCAUUACAAAGAGGAGGGAGUCCAUACUCUUAGAAUGGCAUUCAGGCCCUUGCCCCUUCUGGCCCCGGCCCCAUGCACUGUCACUCCAUGACACACACAACUCCAUUGUCAGCCUCACCAAACUCCCACCUCUUCUCUGAGCCAGAUGUGCCCAGGAUUUCCCACCUACCUCUGCCCGA
Zalophus californianus (California sea lion) is the source of this 1041-nucleotide long non-coding RNA. RefSeq lists it as uncharacterized. Lineage: Eukaryota; Metazoa; Chordata; Mammalia; Carnivora; Otariidae. The record is from RefSeq and is a predicted model, not a curated record. The transcript has 4 exons.